This 484-nucleotide ribosomal RNA is filed under the name uncultured bacterium. RNAcentral's name for it is "partial 16S ribosomal RNA". It matches the Rfam family "Bacterial small subunit ribosomal RNA", at positions 30 to 507 of the family's 1533-position model. The record is from RNAcentral.
AUUGAACGCUGGCGGAAUGCUUUACACAUGCAAGUCGAACGGCAGCACGGGGGCAGUCCUGGUGGCGAGUGGCGAACGGGUGAGUAAUACAUCGGAACGUGCCCGGUCGUGGGGGAUAACGUAGCGAAAGUUACGCUAAUACCGCAUACGAUCUGAGGAUGAAAGCGGGGGACCUUCGGGCCUCGCGCGAUCGGAGCGGCCGAUGUCAGAUUAGGUAGUUGGUGGGGUAAAGGCCUACCAAGCCGACGAUCUGUAGCUGGUCUGAGAGGACGACCAGCCACACUGGGACUGAGACACGGCCCAGACUCCUACGGGAGGCAGCAGUGGGGAAUUUUGGACAAUGGGCGCAAGCCUGAUCCAGCCAUUCCGCGUGCAGGACGAAGGCCUUCGGGUUGUAAACUGCUUUUGUACGGAACGAAAAGGCUCUGGCUAAUACCUGGGGCUCAUGACGGUACCGUAAGAAUAAGCACCGGCUAACUACGUG